Long non-coding RNA from Astatotilapia calliptera (eastern happy), 600 nucleotides. Lineage: Eukaryota; Metazoa; Chordata; Actinopteri; Cichliformes; Cichlidae. The record is from Ensembl.
ACGCUCCAUCCAUAAAACCUCCACAGGAAACAUGACCAUCCAGAGAGUUUCCAAGUCAGAUGAAGGACAUUACAAGUGUAGCAUCUCGGGAGCUGGGGAAUCACCAGUGAGCUGGCUGAACAUCACAGCAUUCGUCCGAGCAGAAGCAGGAACCAGCAGAGCAAUGUCUUCAGCAGGUCCCCAGCAACCCGUAGCAGUGGAUUCCUUCUAUUGUACUAAACAAAAGGUUGCAGAGAGAGAGAGAGCUGAAGAAAUAAUCACAUCUGAAGGAGAGUGAAAACAAAAAUAUAACUCAGUUUUAUCACAUAUUGUUCUAGUAAUUAACCACGUUGUACAUUGUCAUCUCAGUUUUGUCUACAUGUCUAUAAAUUGUUAUAUGUUUUCUUUUUUCAGAUACAGCUUUUUGCCAUUACUGUGUGGUCAUAAGUAUAUAUAAACCUUUGCUUGAAUACAAGCAAAGGUACCAGCGUGAUAUUUAGAAGUUGAAGUUAAAACAAAGUGUUCGAUCAUUCCAUUUUUACACAUGUAUGUAUGAAUAAGUAUGUAUGCUGUUAAAAUAAAAGUGCUGGUGCAGCUUUUAAAAACACCCAUUGUGGUCAA